ACUUCCGCGUCCGCCCCGCGGCGUCCGGCGGCCGCGCCGAGGGUCUGGCGGGCCGCAGAGGGAGACCAAGACAUCGUUGUUUUGAAGUUUCUGAAAGUGUUGGGAGGCAAAAAUUCAGGUGCCUGGGGGAGAAAUGGAAGGCCACAAGGCAGAAGAAGAGGUGCUAGAUGUUCUCCGACUGAACGUGGGUGGCUGUAUUUACACAGCCCGGCGGGAGUCCUUGUGCCGCUUCAAGGACUCCAUGUUGGCAUCUAUGUUCAGUGGUCGCUUUCCUCUAAAAACAGAUGAGUCAGGGGCUUGUGUUAUUGACCGUGAUGGACGUCUAUUUAAAUACCUUUUGGAUUACCUUCAUGGAGAAGUUCAGAUUCCCACAGAUGAGCAAACCCGCAUCGCCCUACAGGAAGAGGCUGAUUACUUUGGCAUCCCUUAUCCAUACAGCCUGUCUGACCAUUUGGCCAAUGAAAUGGAGACAUAUUCUUUAAGGCUUUAACAGACUUCUGUGAUUCAUAUGGCUUAGUCUGCAAUAAACCAACGGUUUGGGUUCUCCACUAUCUUAACACAUCUGG
RNAcentral lists this small RNA (566 nucleotides) under Pongo abelii (Sumatran orangutan). Its description in RNAcentral is "processed transcript". Lineage: Eukaryota; Metazoa; Chordata; Mammalia; Primates; Hominidae. The record is from RNAcentral.